Molecule: ribosomal RNA, 422 nt
Filed under: uncultured eukaryote
Lineage: Eukaryota
Description: bacterial SSU rRNA
Rfam family: Eukaryotic small subunit ribosomal RNA
Source: RNAcentral
CAAUAGCGUAUACUAACGUUGUUGCAGUUAAAAAGCUCGUAGUUGGAUUUCUGUGUUGGUGAGGCGGCCGGCCAUUCGUGGUUGUAGCUAGUUAUCACCGGCGCAUCUUGUCACAAGCCACGCUGGCCUUAACUGGUUGGCGUUGGGGACUGACUCGUUUACUUUGAAAAAAUUAGAGUGUUCAAAGCAGGCCUAUGCUCUGAAUAGGUUAGCAUGGAAUAAUAAAAUAGGACUUUGGUUCUAUUUUGUUGGUUUCUAGGACCGAAGUAAUGAUUAAUAGGGACAGUUGGGGGCAUUCAUAUUCCAAUGUCAGAGGUGAAAUUCUUGGAUUAUCGGAAGAUGAACUUCUGCGAAAGCAUCUGCCAAGGAUGUUUUCAUUGAUCAAGAACGAAAGUUAGGGAUCGAAGAUGAUCAGAUACCAU